This 460-nucleotide ribosomal RNA is filed under the name uncultured bacterium. RNAcentral's name for it is "partial 16S ribosomal RNA". It matches the Rfam family "Bacterial small subunit ribosomal RNA", at positions 338 to 795 of the family's 1533-position model. The record is from RNAcentral.
CCUACGGGAGGCAGCAGUGAGGAAUAUUGGUCAAUGGGCGGAAGCCUGAACCAGCCAAGUAGCGUGCGGGAUGAAGGCCCUACGGGUCGUAAACCGCUUUUGCACGGGGAUAACACCCUCCACUUGUGGAGGUCUGCAGGUACCGUGCGAAUAAGGAUCGGCUAACUCCGUGCCAGCAGCCGCGGUAAUACGGAGGAUCCGAGCGUUAUCCGGAUUUAUUGGGUUUAAAGGGUGCGUAGGCGGCCUUUUAAGUCAGCGGUGAAAGUCUGUGGCUCAACCAUAGAAUUGCCGUUGAACCUGGGAGGCUUGAGUAUGUUUGAGGCAGGCGGAAUGCGUGGUGUAGCGGUGAAAUGCUUAGAUAUCACGCAGAACCCCGAUUGCGAAGGCAGCCUGCCAAGCCAUGACUGACGCUGAUGCACGAAAGCGUGGGGAUCAAACAGGAUUAGAUACCCGGGUAGUC